Molecule: ribosomal RNA, 260 nt
Filed under: uncultured bacterium
Lineage: Bacteria
Description: partial 16S ribosomal RNA
Rfam family: Bacterial small subunit ribosomal RNA
Source: RNAcentral
GUCCACGCCGUAACGAUGAGUGCUAGAUGCUGUGGGUAUUGACCCCGCGGUGUCGCAGCCAACGCGUUAAGCACUCCGCCUGGGAGUACGGCCGCAAGGCUAAACUCAAAGGAAUUGACGGGGCCCGCACAAGCGGUGGAGCAUGUGGUUCAAUUCGACGCAACGCGCAGAACCUUACCUGGGUUAAAUCCACUCGAAUCUAACAGAGAUGUUGGGGUGCCCUUCGGGGAACGAGUGAGAAGGUGCUGCAUGGCUGUCGU